RNAcentral lists this ribosomal RNA (1400 nucleotides) under Staphylococcus aureus. Its description in RNAcentral is "bacterial SSU rRNA". It matches the Rfam family "Bacterial small subunit ribosomal RNA". Lineage: Bacteria; Bacillati; Bacillota; Bacilli; Caryophanales; Staphylococcaceae. The record is from RNAcentral.
UGCAGUCGAGCGAACGGACGAGAAGCUUGCUUCUCUGAUGUUAGCGGCGGACGGGUGAGUAACACGUGGAUAACCUACCUAUAAGACUGGGAUAACUUCGGGAAACCGGAGCUAAUACCGGAUAAUAUUUUGAACCGCAUGGUUCAAAAGUGAAAGACGGUCUUGCUGUCACUUAUAGAUGGAUCCGCGCUGCAUUAGCUAGUUGGUAAGGUAACGGCUUACCAAGGCAACGAUGCAUAGCCGACCUGAGAGGGUGAUCGGCCACACUGGAACUGAGACACGGUCCAGACUCCUACGGGAGGCAGCAGUAGGGAAUCUUCCGCAAUGGGCGAAAGCCUGACGGAGCAACGCCGCGUGAGUGAUGAAGGUCUUCGGAUCGUAAAACUCUGUUAUUAGGGAAGAACAUAUGUGUAAGUAACUGUGCACAUCUUGACGGUACCUAAUCAGAAAGCCACGGCUAACUACGUGCCAGCAGCCGCGGUAAUACGUAGGUGGCAAGCGUUAUCCGGAAUUAUUGGGCGUAAAGCGCGCGUAGGCGGUUUUUUAAGUCUGAUGUGAAAGCCCACGGCUCAACCGUGGAGGGUCAUUGGAAACUGGAAAACUUGAGUGCAGAAGAGGAAAGUGGAAUUCCAUGUGUAGCGGUGAAAUGCGCAGAGAUAUGGAGGAACACCAGUGGCGAAGGCGACUUUCUGGUCUGUAACUGACGCUGAUGUGCGAAAGCGUGGGGAUCAAACAGGAUUAGAUACCCUGGUAGUCCACGCCGUAAACGAUGAGUGCUAAGUGUUAGGGGGUUUCCGCCCCUUAGUGCUGCAGCUAACGCAUUAAGCACUCCGCCUGGGGAGUACGACCGCAAGGUUGAAACUCAAAGGAAUUGACGGGGACCCGCACAAGCGGUGGAGCAUGUGGUUUAAUUCGAAGCAACGCGAAGAACCUUACCAAAUCUUGACAUCCUUUGACAACUCUAGAGAUAGAGCCUUCCCCUUCGGGGGACAAAGUGACAGGUGGUGCAUGGUUGUCGUCAGCUCGUGUCGUGAGAUGUUGGGUUAAGUCCCGCAACGAGCGCAACCCUUAAGCUUAGUUGCCAUCAUUAAGUUGGGCACUCUAAGUUGACUGCCGGUGACAAACCGGAGGAAGGUGGGGAUGACGUCAAAUCAUCAUGCCCCUUAUGAUUUGGGCUACACACGUGCUACAAUGGACAAUACAAAGGGCAGCGAAACCGCGAGGUCAAGCAAAUCCCAUAAAGUUGUUCUCAGUUCGGAUUGUAGUCUGCAACUCGACUACAUGAAGCUGGAAUCGCUAGUAAUCGUAGAUCAGCAUGCUACGGUGAAUACGUUCCCGGGUCUUGUACACACCGCCCGUCACACCACGAGAGUUUGUAACACCCGAAGCCGGUGGAGUAA